Molecule: ribosomal RNA, 117 nt
Filed under: Acidobacteriota bacterium
Lineage: Bacteria; Pseudomonadati; Acidobacteriota
Also listed under: 1 other name
Source: RNAcentral
UUCGGUGGCUAUGGCGGUGGGGUCACACCCGUUCCCAUUCCGAACACGGAAGUUAAGCCCACCAGCGCCGAUGGUACUUGGGAGGAGACUCCCUGGGAGAGUAGGACGCCGCCGGAU